This 414-nucleotide ribosomal RNA is filed under the name uncultured microorganism. Its description in RNAcentral is "bacterial SSU rRNA". It matches the Rfam family "Archaeal small subunit ribosomal RNA", at positions 459 to 872 of the family's 1478-position model. The record is from RNAcentral.
CAGCAGCCGCGGUAAUACCGGCGGCCCGAGUGGCGGCUACUAUUAUUGGGCCUAAAGCGUCCGUAGCCGGGCUGGUAAGUCCUCCGGGAAAUCUGGUCGCUUAACGAUCCGACUUCCGGAGGAUACUGCUGGCCUAGGGACCGGGAGAGGCCGAGGGUAUUCCCGGGGUAGGGGUGAAAUCCUGUAAUCCCGGGAGGACCACCUGUGGCGAAGGCGCUCGGCUGGAACGGGUCCGAUGGUGAGGGACGAAGGCCAGGGGAGCGAACCGGAUUAGAUACCCGGGUAGUCCUGGCUGUAAACGAUGCGGACUAGGUGUCGGGCAAGCUAAGGGCUUGUCCGGUGCCGCAGGGAAGCCGUUAAGUCCGCCGCCUGGGGAGUACGGCCGCAAGGCUGAAACUUAAAGGAAUUGGCGGG